RNAcentral lists this long non-coding RNA (38629 nucleotides) under Ananas comosus (pineapple). RNAcentral describes it as "long non-coding RNA (ACOM_LNC010286)". The record is from RNAcentral. Lineage: Eukaryota; Viridiplantae; Streptophyta; Magnoliopsida; Poales; Bromeliaceae.
UCAUCUAUUUUUAUCAAACAAAAACAUUGAACAAGGAAGCAUGAAACAGCAAAAAGAGAUGAUAUAACGAAACAAAGGAGCUAGCAAAGAAUACAGAAGGAAAAGAAAGAUUUUGCAUGAAGAACACAAAAAGUGAAAGUGCUCCCAUACGAGUAGUUUCAGUUUCUUAGUCCACAGACAAGGACUAUCUACAAGCAAAAGUCGAGGAGAUGAGCUUCAAUGAUUCAGAACAAAAAACGGACCUCGAAAUAACAAAAUGAAAGCAAAGAAAACGGUGAUCUAGAAUUGUUAUACAUAUCCAAAACAAUAAGCACAAUAAUGUUCAACAAUCUGCAAAUAAGUUGUGUGCACAACAAUCUGCAAAGUAAAGUCAGGUACAACACUGAUUUAGCACAACAAUCUCCAAAAACUUUGGCACAACAAUCUGCAAAGGUACAACACUGAUUUGUUCUUGCUUUUAAGUCUCUUCGUCAUCGGUUUCUUCAAGCCUCUCGCUAAAACUUGGAUCGUUAGAUGGCACUUCAUCAACAAUCUGCAAAUAAUAUUAAUAUUAGCAUAUUGUGAAUAAUAAGGAAUGUAAAAAUAUAUGAAGAAAAUAAAGAAAAUGGAAUUUAUUAUACCUCCUUACAAGUCCUAAUGUUGUGUCCUUUUUUACCACAUUGCUUGCAAGUUCUUGGCACCCUAAUCUUUUUUUCAAUGGAAGGCUUAAACCUUUGUGGUUUUCUCUUUCCUUUACAUUGUGAUUGAGGAGGAUCUUUAAUCGUGCAUUCUGAUGCAAGCAUAUUUACUUGGCUUGAUUGUGAAAUUACGAUUCUGUGAAGACUAAUUGAAGGCUCCUUGAUUGUCGCUUCCUCACUUUCAAACAUUUGAUUAAUUGAUGUUAGUGUAUCAAUUCCUUCUCUAAUUAUCUGACAUGCAGUUUCAUGUGCCUUAAGAUUUUUUGAACCUUCAAAGAUAAAUUUUUGCAUUUCUAAUGUAAGGGAAUCAAACCUUCGAGAUCUACAAAACGAGGAACCAUCACUCAUUUCUGUACUAUUGCUUGGUAUUCUCUUUUUUGCAUUCUUAGUCCACCUAUUUAAUAUAUAAUGAGGUGGGAUGUUAUAAAUCUCAAUAUAAUGCAUUACUUUAAGCGCAUGAGCACAUAAGAGGCCAUAAAAUUCAAACAAUUUACAAGUGCAGGAUACCAUAUUUUCGGGCCUUACAACAGUCACUAUAUAUGUGCACAUCCAUUGUCUUGAAGUGGACGAGUGUGAUAUAGAGCUGAUCUUAUAUAGUGAAUCUUUUUUCAACUCAAUCAACUUAUAACCCGUCGUCGCUCUUAAUUGAGUCUUAAAUUCUGAAAAAAUAUUUCUUGUGUAUAUGCGGCGUGCAUCUUUCUCAAUUGGAUCAUCUGACCAUAAACUGGGCUCUCUAUCCUUUGUCAUAAAAUCCUCUAAAUCCUCUCUCUCAUAUUGAUUAUGUGUCAUUUUCUCAAAUUGCAUGACAAACUUGAAUAUUGAUGUAUGUGCAUCUAACCAUAUUUUUGCAACGGCAUUCAUACUUUCACUACGUUGUGACGUAGACAUAUUGGCAAAGAAAGUAUCUCGAAAAUAUGCAGGAAUCCAUUGAUGUCGAAUAUUCCAUAGCAACCGAAGAUGGUUAUUUUCAUGCAAUUCAUAUUUAUCAAGCAUUGUUAUCCACGCAUCCUCAAACUCCUCAAUGCUUAAACUACAAUUUAUGCAUUCUUUCAAAUCAUUUUCAAAGCCAUCCUUAGUGUUAUAAAGCACACCAAAAUGCUCCUUUGCUUUUCUCAUCACAUGCCACUGACAACACCUAUGAACAGUGGUUGGAAAGACUUCCUCAAUGGCCUUUUUCAUAGCAGGAUCUUGAUCAGUAAUAAUAGCUUUUGGGUGUCUACCAUACAUGGCUUUAAUCCAUGUUUCAAACAACCAAGCAAAUGUAUUAGCAGUCUCAUCUCUAAUGAGAGCACACCCGAAAAAUAUAGACUGCAAAUGAUGAUUAACCCCUAUAAAAGGAGCAAAUGGCAUACUAUAUUUAUUCGUCAUAUAAGUUGUAUCGAAAGUGACAACAUCGCCAAAAUGCUCAUAUGCUAAUCUUGAUCUUCCAUCUACCCAAAAUAUGUUCCGAGCCCGCUGUUGGUCAUCAACAUCAAUAGCAUAGAAGAAUAACGGAUCUUUAGAUUGAAGCUCACGAAAAUAAUUAAGCGCACUUGCUACAUCUAUUCCAAUAAGGUUUCUAUUUUUCUCAGCAACUUUAUUACUUAAAUCUUUUUUACGAUGAAAGUGAAAUAUAUGUCUUCUCCUCCCCUUGCUUGCAUAAAGCCAUAAUUUUGUGAAAUGGAAAUAUUGUUCAUUCAACAUAUGAAUUAAUUCUUUUUGCCUCCUUGUAAUAGCACGAUGCGACUCGAUAAAAUCGAUUUUAGAAAGCUGAAACGAUUAAUUUCAGAUUGUGUUCGUUGUCGCCGACACCGACAGUAAUCACCCCAUUUUCUCAUGAUCAUCUAUCCUCAUACAAUCUGACCUUUCCACCACUCUCGUCGAGUUAGAAAAUUGCUUUUUAGGCUAUUGCUACCUUCUGAAUUUUUGGCAUGAACUUUUUCGAUAGUUGGGAUUUAGAAGACUGCUUUGAGAGAAUACAAUAGUUUAACAGAUUGAUGCAACAUGCUUUUUUGCACUUAUAAUGGUAUGUUUUUCUUAACUAAAACCACCCAAUUUAAAAGCAAGUCAUCAUGUGAACUUUUUAAGCAUCUUCUAUAGAGUUGAAUUCCAAACAAACGUGCUCUCAAGCGAUUGUAGUGUUCAUUCACAUGAUCUGUUCAGCAGUAGCAAUUUGUUCACAUUCUCAUCUAAGCAUCAUUUUCAACAUACAAUAUGUGGGCAAGCCGAGAAAACAAGAAGAAGCAAUUAGUCAGGAACCAUAUUCCGCUCAUUUAUUAACCUCCUAUAGAUAAAUCAAAUUAUAUUACUAUAAAAUAGCUCAAAUAAUAGAAAAAAAUUGAUAACUCUACAUUUAUAAUAAUGACGAAAUGAGUAGAAUAAAAUUAGAUAGCUAUCAAGUGACGGACAAUUUUUAUUUGUCGAUAUGCUGCACAAAUUUAUGCUCAUACAUAUUUGAGAAUACGCUCAACAAAAGAAUGAUUUUUUGCUUUCUAGAGGUGCUUCAACCUCAUAAUUCAUUUCUCAUGUAAAAAUGAAUACCUUAUGUAAAAAUGACAUAAUGACUAAUCCCAAGAACUGAGGAUCCAUGAGAUUAAAACAACAUCCCCAGCCAAAAAGGUAAUUUCCAAGAGCACUUCAAAAGAAAUGCUUCAUCUAGUUGACUCAAUUAUUCAUGUAUUUCCAUUCGUCACCAAACGAAAAAAUUAUCAAAAACCAAAUCAAAACGACAACAAAAACAAAGAUCUAGGCGAGAUGCUUACCUUCGAGAUUGCCGAACGGCGUAACGGACGAGGUGCGGGAACGCCACAGUGGAGAACAAAUCUCAGAUCGAUUGCCGCGGAUCGAAUCGCGAGUAGCUCACGGGCCGAGUGCCGCGCUCGUCAGGGAGCUGAUAUUGUAGCCGCAGGCCCGGGAAGGCGCGACGGCGGAGGGGUCUUCCGGGAUGAACUUUAGCGCGCGGCCCGGAAAGCUUCCGCGCGAGUCGGGUCGCGUCCAUCGAGAAUUGUUAGCGCCGCGGCCCGAAAGGCGUCGGCGCGGCAGGUGGCAGACUUACUUCGGCGAUCGUACGAGCGUCGAUAGGGAUAGAUGACGCACCAACGUAAGAGGGAAAGAGAAGAAUAUGGGAGAAAAAAAGAAUAAGAAUAGAUCUGGUGGGGAACUCAGAGAGAGAGAGGGAAGAGAAAGACGGGGGUUGUAGAGAAAGAAAAAAGAGAGCAGAAGUUGGGUUGCAGAGGGAAAAGAGAGAGGGGUUCCACGUCGUAGAGAGCAGAAAAGAGAGAAGAAGAGAGUCAAGCGCCGUUAUUUGGGCCUGCGUCUUAGUUCCACCAAUAAUAUGCGCGGAUCUCGAGCGAGCCGAUUCGCAAUGGUGAAAAAGUCCAACGCAUCAAGAGCUCGCUGUGACUUUUAAAAGCACAGGAGCUGCUACUCUAUAUAUAUAUAUAUUAUCUAUAUAUAUCUAUAUAUAUAAGUAGUAUACUAGAAGUGAGGCUACCUAUGGCUAUCGGAAGCAAGGAACUUCGAUGCUUCCCAGUUCGUUUUCGAUGUUGCGACUUUCGAAUCGAUGAUCGGCUCCGUUAAACCUUGAUCUAGAGUGUUUGAAGUACCUAGAAAAUAAUUUAGAUUUUACGAUAUUAUUUGUAGUGACGAGGGGCCAAAAUCAACGCUUGAAAAUAGAAAUCUUACAAAAUGUAACAAUAUACGACAUAAAAUUUUAAUAAAGAAUACUUGAUCUUGUUUUUAUAGUAGAUAAUAAGGAAUUUUCUAUCAAAAUUCUCACGUGAUUUCGGAUAUUUCUACACCAGUUAAAACUCUGCAAACGCAUUCACUACGGUCAUUGAAAUUCUGCUGAUUUUGAGUCCAUUACGAUCACUAGGCAAAUGAUAUUGAAAAUAAUAAAUCUAUAUUUCUAGGCACUCCAAUACUCUAGAUCAAGUUAAACGAGCCGUCAUCGACGAUUUAAAAAGUCCAACAUCGAAAACGAACUGGAAGGCACGAAGGCUCCGUGCUUCCAUAGCAUAGUAGCCAUUCACUCUAUAUAUAAAUUAUAUAUAUAUAAUAUAUAUAUAUAUAUAAUUUAGAAAUGCUAUAUACUAUCAUAGUCCAAGCGCCUUGCUACUCUAAAUUUUGGCCGUCGAUAAAAGAAUGUGCGGUUAGAUUGAUAGUGAUGCCGCGGUUAAAUUAAUAGUGGUCCCUAGGGUAGUGGGUGUUGUUAAUAGUAUUAUCUACGAUGGAAGAUCAAAGGGGAUAUUUUAAUGGUAGGAAACUACAAAUAGACCAAACGGUUUGCUAACUAUCAACUAUAAGAUGGUAAAAAGCGGACUAUAUAUAUAUAUAAUAUAAUGGAGUAAAAUAAAUAGGCUUAAAUGAACUAUGUCCUCAAACUAGAAUCAAGUAAAGUUUAGUCCGCCAAAUUUAAUUUACUUUAAUUUCUGACUUUACAUUUAAAAAAAAAUUUAUGCUAUCUAGUUUAUUCUUUUUUAGAAACAAUUUAACUAAAUAUAUUUAAUAAUAUAUAUAGUUUCGAACUUGAAGAAACUACAUACAACCACAAUUUGUGCACUUGCUCUAAAAUGGUUGGUAACUUUUCAUAAAUUAUGUAAAUUGUUUAUACAUUAUUGACUAAAUAUAAUGUUCACUGAUAUAAAUAAUUAUUAUAUAUAAUAUAUAUUAUACAUUAAUAAUUGAUAUGUGAAAUAUUACUGCACAGUCUGGCCGCAUGCUAUAUUAAUCAAUUAGAUGGGCAAUAUAUGAUAUUAUUAUAAGCAAUCAAAAGAAUCAACAUCAGAAAUAAAAAUUAAAUUUAAGGAUCAAAAUGCAUUAGAUUUCUAGAUUGGGGAUGGAAAUCUGGCAAUUUAGCCGUACAAUAGCUACUUGGUGGCAUUAGGGAAAUUGGAAUUUUCGUUCAAACAGCUUGAUGCGAUGAGUAGAAAAAUAAUAGUCACUUAGAGUUAAGCGUAAAAUGUCAAUAAAAUUGUAAAAUUAAAGCCACUUUAAAAUGGCACCAAUUGCAUUCUCUUUUUUUUGAAAUUAGCCCUUAAACAUUUUGUUAUAUAAUUGGCAUAUUCACUCUUGAACUUUUUUCACUUUAAUGCUGGUCCUCUAAUUUCGAAUUGUUUUCGUUAGGGAUAUUCGCCUCUGGCUUCAUGGUUGACCUUAAACUUUUUAUUUUAAUUUAACUUUUGUUAAGAAUAUAAUUGACGGCAUCCCUUAGAGCAAUGCAAAGGCUUGACGAUGGUACUGGAGGUCCUAGAGUUCAAAUACUAUGGAUUCACAUUCUUGCUAAGUUUAUUUAAAUGAAAAACAAGCGGGUAGCGUGCAAUGCUAGUUUCUCAGAAAAAAAAAAAAAUAAAAAAAUUUGUUAGAUAUAAAUUUUUUUUUGUAAUUAGAUUCCAAUGUUUAAACAACUCAUUCUAGAGCAAACUAUGUGGGCCAUACUAACAUAAAAUAAAAGUGGAAGAGCUGAUUUUUUUUUUUUCAACCCUACAAAAGAGCUUUACAUUAAAUAAACUAAACUUCGAAACCCAGGGGGGGGGGGGGGGGGGUGGGGGCGGGGGGGGGGGGGGGGGGGGGGUGGGGGGGGGGGGGGGGGGGGAAAAUAUAAUUAAAGAUUAAGGGCUGUGUUUUGGAUUCGCUUUUUUUUUCAGCAUCCUGAAAAAUCGGAAUCGGAAUGGAUAAUCCGUUGUGAGUAGUUUGGUAGGCGGAGUCCAUUCCGAAUUCCGAUUCCAAGAGUGAAUGUGACAUCCCAAUCACCACUUUUCAAUCCGGCCAUAAGAGACUGAUUGAAGUUGAAUCCGACGGAAUGGAUAUUAUUCGAAUUAAUUUUCAUUUUUCAAUUUUUUAAUAUAUAAAUGAUUAAAAUUUAAAAUUAAAAUAUAUAAUUUUAAAUAUUAAUUUAAACCUAAAUUAAAAAAUUAAAAUUUAAUCAAAGUAUUUCGAUCUAACUUAUGAAUAUUGAAUUUAAAUUAAUUUUAAUUUUAUAUAAAAUUUUAUUCAAUUUUAAUUUUCAAACUUAAAUUAAAUUUAUGGAUUCAAUUAAAAUUUAAAUGUAAUUUAAGUUUGAAUUGAAUCAUUAAAAUUUAGUUUCAUAUUUGAAUAUCCAUCAACUCAAAAAUUAUUUUUUUAAAAAAAUAGAUUUAAAAUUGACAUUGUUUCAAAAUUUUGAUGUAAUUUAAUAAUUUUAUUCUAUGAAUCUGAAUUUAACGUAUUAAUAUAUUUAUAAGAUAUGUUAGUAUACUAAAUUUGAUUACUUUUUAUAUCCACCUGAACCAAACACUGGAUAAUGGGAAUGAUAUUCGAUUCGAAAUUCGGUGAUGAACCAAACAGAAUUAGAUAAUUAAGUCAUUUGAUCCGAUUCAUCUUAUUUGAUUCGAUUCAUAUUCCGACUCCAACUUCGAACCAAAACCCUAACUAGUUGCCUCUCGCUGGCGCAGUGAAAACAUUUCCUGAGGGUAAACCAAACACUUUAGGUGAACAUAAUAUAAUGCAAUAAAGGGCAAUUAAUGUUUGGAGACGUAGCACAAACUUCAAUCAAAUUCGAAUCUCGUAAGCAAAUUAAGUAUGAUCCUCUUUACUGGAGGCUAUCAAUGGAAAGCAUUCUAUGCGAACUCACUAGCAAGUUAUAAAAAAGGAGAAGGAUGAUCCAUCUUACUGGGGAGGCCGUCUCAGUUCCCAAACGAGCAUAAGCUUCUUCAUUACUAUCAUGCUGUAAAAAGCACUUCUGCAAGGCUUGAAAAAGUAGAGCACAACAUCCAACAUGGGUAGAUAAGUUUCGAAAGAGAAGAAGUUUUCAUUAAAAAAGAGUUUGCAUCAUAGAACUUAAUGAAUAGCAACCAAUUACCAGAAGGCUCAAAAUUACCAUUUACUAAGGUAACAAGCGCAAAAAAUGAAAUAGUACAAAGCCAAAUGAACCAAAAAACUUCCGUUCCACCCCCAUCUAAUAAGGCAUACUUUUCGAAAAUAUUGCGGCAAUAGUAUACUUCACUCUGCGAAUGUUCUGUAGUUUUCUUAUACAUGAAAAAUAGUAUAAGGGAUCUAUUGUAAAUAAUUCUACAAUUUUCCACCCCGCGCCGUAAAAGUGAAAUCUGAGAACAACGAAUAAAACCUUUAAUUGUUAUCCGUCGCGUAAGAGGAGUAUUCUCAACUUUAACAAAGAGACAAUUAUAAACUGGUCGGUGCAAGGUGGACAAGUUUAUAGCCUAUUUGCGACCCCCAACCCCUGAUACACAAUGUAACAUACGGUUUCUUCCCGUCUGUUUAGAAUAAAAAGUUUCAGGCUUUCUGAAACUCCACGCAAUAUGUAUACUGUUUGUGAACGCAUCUCUCAUAUUCUACAUAAACAAGAGCAUUACAAAGCUAAAAAAGAAAAUCUCGUACACACAUGUGCAUAGAAUAAAAGGUUAUAAUCGUCAAAUGCAAUAACGGUAGAACCCUGCAGAUCAUCUAUCAACAUAAUAACCCAUAUAAUCAGAAUUUUAAUUCUCUCCCCAGAAAUCUGUUGCUCUUCAGUUAGUAACGCAUUUUUUUAGUGGGGGUGUCAUCCAAUUUCAUGUUGAGAAAGUUGGUUUUAUAUUAAGCAAAAACUUCUCUAUUGGGGACUUCCUGUAAAUAGAAAGGAUACAUGAAGGGUAAACGAUGUAUAAAAAUUCUCAUUUUGCAGGAUCUAUGUGUGAACGGAUCUGUCUAUCUCAAAGAAAACUGCAAAAAUACUAGAAGACAAAAAUAGCACACCGUUCUUGGUUUCAUAAUGUUGCAGCAUAGCUAUGAGAGGACUUCAUUUGUUGGUUCUGUAUAAAGAACUGAAUCAGAAUGAAAUUCCCAGAAAAUAUGAAGUAUUUUUUGCAAUUUAGUAAAAUUUCGAAUGACUUACCACCAAAACAAGCCUCUGGAUGGACAGAAAGAAUUGUUCUGCAAUGCAUACCUGAAGACCACAUGUUACAGAUGAAGCAAAAAUGAAUUAAUUGGUAGGAAUAGGUCCAUGUACCAUAAUGGCAGGGGGAUUUCCUCUGUAUUCAAAAAAAGUAAUAUUAAAUAUCAACACACCCUCUAUAGUCUAUAGUUGUAAAUAACAGACACCAGACACACCGUUUAUAACAACAUUUCCAAGUGAAAUGCCUUACCAUGCAUAAUCCAUUAAAAAAAACUAAAUUAAGCCUGUUAAGCAAUGGUUCAAUAUGGAAUUUCAAUUUGCCCUUACUUGAUUUAUCUCAUCAUGUACAGUAAGUCUCUAAAGGCUAAAGGGGUAAGCUUUAAAGCAGUUGUCAGACAUAGAUGGCCUCUUACACUAAAGGGACUUAGAAUGAUUAAAGAUAUUUACAAGGGAAUAAUCAUAAUUUCAACUUCAGGAGGGUAAUAUGAUAUUCUCUGGUAGGAUCCAGAGUUUACUAUUGUAAGUUUGAUAUACUAAUGGUAAAAUCAAGCAGCUGAAAGUAUAAGAAUAUCUAGGCAAAUUACUGCAUCAUGUUCUACUUGAUGAAGCAGGAGUCUCAAACUUACCACUGGAGGCUUAAACGGAUAGUCAAAAGAAAACGCAGCGAUUAGCUUUGUAGGUUAAACCUUCAUAUGGGAUUCCUUGCUCUUCAAUAGUACCGAAAAAAAAAGAGAAAAUGUUCUGCUUCAGAAACCGCUGAUACUCUGCAUCUAUCAUCUGUAACGCAGAGAAGACAAAACUAGGAAAAGACUACAGAAUAAAUUCGAAUAACAGAGAAGAGAAGUGAGCCAUGCUGAUUUUAUAUUUAGACAUUAAUAAACAUAAAAACAACAUUAACAUCAAACUAUAAAGGAAAUGUUAUUCUUUACAAUAUAAUUCUACAACAAUAAUGACAAAAUUACGGCGGUUUAGAAUUUUUCUGUGCCUUGUGAAUACAAACAAUCAACUCGUGAAUUGAUACAUUUUAACGGCAUUAAAUAUAGCACCUCUUGUGAAAUUUGCUGUAAUAUAAGCAUUACUCAAAACUAUAAAUCCGUACACGAAUUCUCCAAUUAGAUGAACCAAUUCAAGAGACUCCUAAUAAUAUAUAGAGAACCAAAGCACCCAAGUUAAGCAAAGUAUCUGGUUAUGUUCAGAUGAUGAAUAUUUGUUCAACAUAUUCUGCCUUGUUUACUCAAAGGGACACUGUUAAUAAUUGAUUUCGACAGGCUUGUUUUUCAGAACGAAUAGCAUGAUUCUUUUCUCGUAGCUGCUACAAAUUACCUCAAGGUACUCCUUAAAAAGAUCAGGAAACUAAGGUUUCACAACACAUAAGACCAAGAGCGUGCAUGUUAAUCACACAAAAAAAUCUCAUAAACACCAAGUAUCAUACGCUAAACAUUUUCUAAGUACCAAACAGAUAUACUACUACUGAGGCAUUUUCUUUUUCAAUUAUGUAAACUUUUUAAAUAAAUACCAUUAACUAUAAAGAUUAUUAAACAAGGAACUACGAAUCAAUAACACAAAACAGCAUAACAAGGGCUACCACCGCACUUUGCACGUGAUUCCAAUCCCAAUAAACGAUAUGAUAAAUCUCAUCUGUAAUAUUAACCAGAAUAAAUGACAUAAUUCAGACUGCUAAGGUUAUAUCAGUCUGGGUUUCUCCGUUAAUUCGCCUCUAAAAGGCAUUCGAAUGUUUUAACCUAAAUUUAACGCAUCUCGUCAAAUCCAUCGAGGCGAGCCAGAUUUACAAAAAGCACGCAUGACGAGAAAUCAAAACUUCCUUUCUGGGCCUGCAACGAGUUUGAAUCGCGGAUCCAAAAUUGAGCCCACAAAACGAAAUUCAAAAAAAUAGAAAAAAGGGUGCGACGCGAUCGAUCCGAUCCGGAUUCCCGAACCUCUGGAGACGGAGCGGCGUCGACGGGUUGUCGAGGUUCUUGCUGCUCGGCGCGACGCGCGGCGCCGCGCGCUCGGCGUGGCGUUCCGUACUCCAUCUCCGGUCUCCUCCUGCGAUCGAAUUCGAUCGAUCCCUCUUCGAAUCGGGAUUAUAAUAGUAUGAGAAGUGUAAAUGAUCUCGAGAGAAGCGCUUAAGAUGAGAUUGAGCCGAGAUCUAUCGAGAGAGGAUCGAGAGAGAGAGAGAAAGAGAGAAUGGGAUUGGGACAAUUGUCGAGUAAAGAAAAGCACGAGGAAAUGAGGGAACGGAAAAGUAAGAACGUGGUUCCACGUGUUUUACCUUAUCCUUUCUUUUUUCUUUUGUCCAAUUGUCGAAAAUUUUUUUAUUUUUUUUGGGUACUUCAUAUAUCAAUCUUGGUAUUAGUUUUUUUUUAAUUAUUAGCUAUGUGAUGUUAAAAUAUACUCUUUUUUUUUUCGUCAGCUUUUUUUAUUAAUAUUUAUUAAUUAUAAAUAUAUAUAAAAAAAUUUUAGAUAACAAUCCAUUUAGAUUUACCGGAAUAUUCCUUUAAUAUUUUCUUAGUUUAACUUUAUCACUGAUUUAAACAAAAAAAAAAUCUGACGACAGAAAAAAAAUAAAUAUCAUAGAAUAUUAAAUUAAUAUAUUUAAACGCAUAUAAUACUAAAAUGAAAAAGUACUAAACACAUAUUGGUAUUUAAAGUUUAUUUAUUUUUUAAAUAACCAACAGUACUAAUGCCGGUUUUGUUCAUUAUAAGAAAUAAUACUUGAGGUAAAAAGAAAAAUAAAAAAAAUAACAGCAAUAAAGAUACAAAUCAAUCAUUUGGAAUCAUCACCAAUGUAAUUUGCCCUAGUUUUUGAGAGGAUAUAUAAACCAUAUUGGCUCUUACAGUUUAUCAGGAUGAGAAUAGUUUUUUUUAUAAUUAUUGUAUGUAGUGCUGUGUGUGUUUACAAUAUUGUGCAGCAUAUUAAAAUAAGGGAUAAAUAAGAUAGAUGUAGAUUUUUUUUAAAAUAAUAUAAUCUUUAACAUCUUUGGCAUGGGACUGGUAUGUAUAUCAAAAAUAAAAAAUACAUUGCAACGUUGUUAUAAAACUAUAAUAUUGUACUCAGUUAAACGCGAAUCGAUAUUUUGUUAUCAAUAAAUUUGCACUAAGUUAAAUAGAAUCGAAUCAUCAUAAUCUGACUUGAUUCCGACGAUUAUUAUAUUAUCUAAUUAGACUAAACUUAAUUUAUUUUCAAUUAAAAAAUUAAUUAGAGAUAUAUUCGGCCCUAAUAUUUCACUUACCUUCUAUAAAUUAAAUUUAAAAUUGANNNNNNNNNNNNNNNNNNNNNNNNNAAACACGUGGUCUCCAACGGCAAACUCUAUAUCUUUCCUCCGUUUGUCGGCAUAACUCUUUUGCCGAGAUUGCGCCGUAGCAAGUCGUUGGCGAGCAAGACGAACUUUCUCCUCCGCCUCCCGUACUACAUCGGGGCCAAGACCCGCCCUCUCGCCCACAUCGCUCUAAUGAAUUGGGGAGUGACACUUCUUUCCAUAAAGAGCCUCGAAUGGCACCAUCGCGAUACUUUCUUGAUAACUGUUAUUGUACGCGAACUCUGCCAUCGGUAGAUGAUCAUGCCAAUUGCCCUUAUAAUCCAGUACACACGCUCGAAGCAUAUCCUCAAGUAUUUGUAUCGUCCUCUCCGAUUGACCAUCACUUUGAGGAUGAAAUGCCGUGCUAAAGUCGAGCCGCGUGUCCAAAGCCUCCUGUAGGCUCCUCCAAAAGUGAGAGGUGAACCUCGGGUCCCGAUCAGACACGAUAGACACGGGCAUCCCAUGAAAUCUCACAAUCUCGUCGAUAUAUACUUGAGCCAAUUUGUCCCCCGACCAUGUAAUAUGAAUCGGUAGGAAAUGCGCCGACUUCGUCAACCGGUCCACUAUAACCGAAAUUGCAUCGUGCCCACCUUGAGAUCGUGGCAAUCCGGUCACAAAGUCCAUAGCGAUAUUCUCUCAUUUCCAAACGGGUAUAGGUAAGCUUUGUAAUUUUCCCGCCGAAAAAUGCUGCUCCGCUUUUACUUGUUGGCAAGUAAGGCAUUGCACCACAAACUCCCCAAUGUCUUUCUUCAUGCCCGGCCACAAAUAGUGCAACUUCACAUCUUGAUACAUUUUGGUGCCGCCCGGGUGUAUACUAUAAAGGGAUUGGUGCGCUUCUUGCAUGAUCGCCCUGCGGAUGUCCUUAUUCUUAGGCAUACACCAACGGUUUCUAAACCGGAGUGCGCCGUCGGUCCCAAUGCCAAAAUCAUCGGCAGUACCGCUCUCAACUUUCCCGUGCACCUUUUGGAGAUAUUCAUCGAAAGCUUGCAACUCUUUAAUCUUCUCCAAUAGUGUCGGUUGAACAACCAACGCCGCAAGUGUCGCCGGCACUCCCGGCGCUACUACUUCCAAUCNAGAGAGAAAGAGAGAGAGAGAGAGGGUGGAUUGCCAGAGGAAAAGAGAGAGAGUGGGUUCACGUGUAGAGAGAGGAGAGAGAGGAACGGCGCUAUUUGCCGUUCCGUCUAGUUCACCCUUUUACUGCGCGCGGAUCUCGAGGCGAAGCGAUCCAACGGUGCAAAAAUGCCAAGCACAAGAGCUCCUGUGCUUUUAAAAGCACAGGAGCUCUACUCAUAUAUAUAUAGAGUCCGGCUGGGAUACUAUCGAUAGUACCAAGGGCUUAGUGCUAUCGAAUUUUCCACCGUUAGAUUUAACCAUUUCAUUAUUUUUACCCGUUAGAUUAUACUAUUCAACCAAUCACCCACUCAACCCUAGGGGGCCCAUAUUAUCCUAACCGCACAUUUCUCAAUUCAAGGGCUAAAAAACAAAUAGUACAAAUAGCUUUGUGCUAUUGAUAGUAUUCCAGUCUAGUUCUAUAUAUAUAUAUAUAUGUGUGUGUGUGUGUGUUAAAACAUUUUUCUAUUAUUUCAUAAGGACUUUUUUAUUUUCUUUCCAGUGCAAUUUUUCUGUGUUUAUAUUUAUUUUCUUCUCUUUUGAGACAAUCAUCUUUGCGUUGUACUAUUAUGUUCAUUUUUGAAAGAGUUUUUAAUAUUUGUACAAAUGUUUUUGUUCACGUUAUUAUGAAAGAUUUUUUAUUUUUUAUUUUUUUAUCUAUCUUCGAAGGAUUUUUAAGAUUGUUCAAAUUUUUUUUAAUAUUUUUGAAGGAUUUUUGAAAGAUUUAAUUUUUUUUUAUUUUUAGUGUUGUGUUUAAUAUUUUUGGAAGGUUUUUGAAAAAUUUUAAAUUUUGCAAAUAGAGCGCUAAUCUUUCGCAUCUAUAGAAUUACUAUAUUGUUCGAAUUUAAAGUGCAAAUCUUUUCAAAUCUAUAGGAUAUUUUAUUUCUUUCGGAGUGCUAUUUUUUAUUUUCUAUUUAUUUUUAUUUUCCUUUCUUUUGACCCAAUCAUCUUAUGUUGUAUUAUUAUGUAAAUUUCUGACGAAUCUUUUAUGUUGUUUGGAUUUUACUUGUUUACAUUAUUUUGGAAUAAAACUUCUUUUUUUAUAUGUUUCUUUUCGAAGAAUUUUUAAUAUUGUUUAGACUUUUAUAUAUUUUUGAAGGAUUUUUUAAAAAAAUUAAUACUUCCUCAAGGCUGAGACAUGAAACACAUCAUGUAAUAGAUUAUGUUCUACUGGAGGUGACUGAGGAGAUGAGCUUACUGAGCAACUGGUUCGAAUUCUUGCACGAAAGGUAAAAAAAUUGCGAAACCGAGUUAUUGCUUAUGUGAAGGUAUUAUGGAGUUAUCAGGCGGAGUGAGAGGCGACAUGAGAAUCUAAGCAUGCGAUGCGAGAAUCUUCCCUACUUAUUUGAGCAGCUAACGUGAUAUACAUUUUAAGUUUCAAGGACUAAACUUUUAAAGGAGGAGAAAUAUAAUGAAUCUUAGCAAAUAGACAAGGUUGAAGUGUCAUUUUUUUUAGUCAGUAUUUUUCUACAUUAAUGGAUUAAGCUUGCUCGGCUCAUUAUGAGUUCGAGCCGAACUUUACUUAAAGCUCGGAAAAUAAAACAAGUUCGAGCCGAGUAAAUUAAAGCUCAGUUCGAGCUCGCUCGGCUUAUAGCUCGGCUUGUGCUCAGCUUGCGCUCGGCCGAGCGAGCAAACGGUCGGGAUAAAGGCUGAGAGAGAGAGAGAGAGAGAGAGAGUUAGUUCUACUGUUUGCUCUUCCCUAUACCUACCUCGGGUGCACCUGACGAACGGAAUUUCUAUCGUUUUUUACGUUUUUUCGGGGAGUUUUGAUACAUAAAGUUGAAAUUAGGAAAUGUUAAUUUAGAACUCAAAAUUUCUAAUAAAAACACAGAUAAAGCUCGGUUUUGCAGAGGUUGAGUUAGUUCGNCUUCCUCGGUCCGAGAAUAUACCAAUACGUCGUCAAUGAAUACCACGACGCACCGGUCCAAUAGCGGACGGAAGACUCUAUUCAUUAAGUCCAUGAACGCCGCCGGGGCGUUAGUAAGCCCAAACGGCAUCACCGUGAACUUAUAAUGGCCAUACCGUGUACGGUACGCCGUCUUGUGCACAUCCUCGGGCCGUAUCUUCAACUGAUGAUACCUCGAUUGAAGAUCAAUCUUUGAAUAUACCCUUGACCCCUGCAACUGAUCAAAUAAGUCAUCGAUCCUCGGCAACGGGUACUUAUUCUUCACUGUGACCUUGUUCAACUCGCGGUAAUCCACGCAGAGUCGAAGUGUGCCGUCCUUCUUCUUAACGAAUAGCAUCGGAGUUUCCCAGGGUGACGCACUCGGCCUCACAAAGCCUUUGUCGAGCAAGUCUUGCAACUGUGCCUUGAGCUCCUUUAGCUCCGCCGGUGCCAUUCUAUACGGAGCCUUCGAAAUUGGAGCCGCCCCGGGUACCAAGUCGAUAACGAACUCGACCUCCCGGUCCGGUGGCAAACCCGGUAACUCCGCCGGAAACACAUCCGGAAGCUCACACGCCACCCGAAUACUACUAAGUUCCGGGUGCUCCUUCUGGGCUUCUACCAUGGUCGCCAAAUAGGCCUCACAACCACCCUUUAUCAUUUUCCUCGCCUGUGCCGCCGACACGGUCGCCGCGAAAAGCGAGCUUUUUGCUGCCUGAUACACUAGCUCCUCUCGAUUAGGCUCAUGAAACGUGAUCACCUUACUUUCACAAUCUAUCACGGCAUAAUACUUGGAGAGCCAGUUGGUCCCCAAGAUCACGUGAAAACCCCACAUUCGGUUUAACACCAACAGAUCAAUCGGCAUGACCGAAUCACCUAUCUGCACUGGGCACGCUACACAUUCUUCAUGAACAUGGAAAGUAUGCCUGACCGAAUUUACCGUCCAGUAGUCAUAAUGAUGCAUGAUCUUAAUGCCAUGAGUCCUAGCGAAUGAUGCAUUAAUGAAUGAAUGCGAUGCACCUGUGUCGAGUAAAGCUCUAGCUCUGGUGCCUCUGAUCAAGAUAAUACCUGCCACGAUGUCGUCGGGGACAGGAAUUGGCUCCUCCUGCACCUGAGUGGCAAAAACCCGCCCACUCGGUGCCCUCGAUGCCUCCGGCUGACGCGAUGAAGACGAACGCCCAGCCGACAUAGCCGGUGGUAACCCCGCCUGCUGUCUCGGGAUAUAAGGAACUGAUGCCGAGGUAGGCGCAGAUGAACCCCAGCUCGGGCACUCUCGUGACAUGUGCCCGGGCUGGCCGCACCUAAAGCACUUUCCCUCGCGCUGCGAGCAUACCGGCGGCCGAUGAUCACCGCCGCAAAUGACACAACGGAACGGCCUGCCACUCUUCGACUGCUGCCGGGGAUACCGAGGGGGUUUCUUUGUGUUUGACCGGCCCUCGGCACCGCCCGCCGCCCGCUUCUUCCCCUUGUCCCUUGACUCCGCCAUUGCCUCGCGCUCCUCUCGCAUGUGGGCGCUGCUGUGCUUCGCCCACAGGGCUCGAUCAAAGACCUCCGCAAAGGUCGUCAACUUGAGGAUUUUCACCUUCUCGUAAAUCCUCGGUUGGAGUCCUCGUAAGAACCAAUCAGCCCGGUCCGGGUCAUCACGAACAACCUCCGGGACGCAGUCGAUAAGGUGGGAGAACUCCUGCUCGUAAUCUGCCAUAGAGCGGUCCCCCUGUCGCAACUUGCGGAAUUUCUCUUGCAACUUCCGCUUCACCGUAUCGGGGAAGUAGUUGGCGAACACCGCCCUCCAGAACUCCUCCCACAACAUAGGCGGAAGAUCGGGCGAUCGAUCCCGCCUAACACGCUUCCACCACACCUUCGCCGCCUUCUCAAGGCAAUGUGUGGCGAGGUACACCUUGUCCUUCUCCAAGGUGUUAAGAUCCUCAAANAUAAGCUCGCUCGAGCUCGGCUCGUUUCCACCCCUAGUCGGAAAGGCGGUUGCGCGGGAAAAAAAAGAAAAAAGAGAGAGAGAGAGUGAGGCGAGCUUGGUUUCAAGCAGCGAGUCGAGCAUGCGUGAGUGUGUCUUUCGGUGUUUCGAAGUCCGGUUAUUAUCAUAAUAUUUUUAUUAUUAUUAUUUUCAUUUAGACUAUUUUGAUAAAUUUUGUAGAAAUUGAGAGUUCAAAAUUGAUUUCUAUAUGUUUUAAGAACUGAUUUCGCGUGAUUUUGACGAGAGAUUUUUGAGCUACUCUAGGGUGUUGUCAUUGUUGUUCAAGCUAGGAGAGCAGUAGUGGAUCGCCUUGCUAUUCUGAUAACUGUUCCGUUCUAUGAAUUUGCGAUAUACAUGGAUUCCAUAUUGUCAAAAUUGGUGAACUAACUUUUAUAUCCAUAUUAUAUUAUUUAGCUUAUGAGAUGAACUAUUGACAUAGUUGAGAUAAAGUAUUUUGACACCUACUUGUAAAGUAUAUUAAGAUAUGCAUAUUUUUAGGAGUGGCAGAUAGAGUGAGAUUAUAACUGUAUUUGGGAUACUAUAAUAGUAUUGUCAUGAUCUAUUUAAUCAUCGCAUUUGACUAUAGCCUACAUAUUAUUUUGAGCUUGACAGUGAUAUUAUACUCGGUUAGGGUAGCGCUCCGCGAGUGCACUCCGGAGGUUAGGUUAUGAGAUAUUAUUAUGGUAUGGACUAGAUAGUAGCUUGCGUGAUAGUGGACCACUAUAGGUGGAUGCUGGACACGAGGUGAUGUAGGCUAGACCUAACUGUUAAGUCAGACACUAUAAUUGGGUAUUUUUGCAUUAUUUUUUUCAGUAUCUAAUCAAUUGAUUAAUGAAAUAUAUAAUUCAUAGUUUUUAGUUAUAUUGUAGAGACAUGAUAGUAGUAUUUGCUUUUAGCAAUUAUUUAUAUCAGUCCCUUCUUUUUUCUACUGCUUAGUUAUUUACUAUUUCUACCUCUUAUGAACCUAGUGGUGUAGACCAUCGGCAAUGUCGACCAUACCCACUAAGGACUAUGGAUUAUAGUUCUCAUAUCUUUCUUAUUAAUAUUUUAUUUCAGAGCCUUCAGCACCAGUGACUGAUCGACAUAAGGAAAUUACGGAUAGUUAGCAUCUUUUACCCAGUUUGUGCGUGUAGCUGGACAAUCUAACAGUGUAUAUAGCAGUUUGUACAGUAUUUUAAGGUUAAAUUUAUUAGAGAUGUUGUACCAUUUUGAGAACUUGUAUGGUGAUAAUUGUAUAUUUAUAGUGUUGCUAUAGUACAUAUUUUUUAUUUUACUUUGAUACCUACUGUUGUUAGAAUUUAGUUAAUUAUUUUUGGACAAUCUCUGUUGACGCUUCAUAUAUAUAAGAUGUAUCCUUAUGCAUGCAGCAGAUUUGUUGAUGUAAUUCAGGCUUUCGCUGUAAUCCGGGACGUAACAAAUUAUAUGUUUAUUUUUGAAGAAUUUUUAAUAUUGUUUGGAAUUUUACAUAUUUUUGAAGGAUUUUAAAAAAUUUCUAAUUUAUGUUUCUUUUGAAUAUUGUGUUUAAUAUUUUUGAAAGGUUUAUAAAAACAAGUAUUUUGAAUUUGGGUUUGUGGACAAACCCCUUUUUUAGCAGGAAAAGAAUAUGGCCAAUUUGCAUAAAAAAUUCACUAGUUUUGUGCUUUUACAAAAGUAGGUCACCUAUUUUGAUUUUGCAGAUUCGGGCCGGAUUUUCAGCCGCUUGACCAAAAUGCCCUUCGUCUAUAUUCGCGUCUCGUGUAUUCCCUGAGAUACGUAUACUCUAACGUACGGUCCUAGCGGACAUUAAAUACGCCCCUUGCGCUUUUCGCAACGUCACUCUCAUCGAAACCCGAACCAAAUCAGCCCCGCUAUUCGCCAGCCCCGGUAUUUGCUGUUCAGCUUUAAGAAAUUAAAUAGUUGACAAGCUACAUGGCAAGAAAUACGCUGCCGGCAACAGGAAUAAUAGUGCAACGCUAAGAAGCAACGCGAAGAAAAAUGGUGGAACAACACUUCUAACAGUGCACCUUUCGGCAGGUACCAAUGCGACGUUGGCGUUCAAUCUUCUCCCUCACCAGGGCAACAUCCCACUCCCUUGGAAGGCAGUCAAGCAGUCUUCUUCCUAAACUGUAAGAAGCAUAGGGGAGUUUAUUCCAGCACUCGUUUGCAGAGGAGAAGUGGAAGAAGCGUGGUCGAGGGACAUGGCUUUAGGGUUUGGAAGUGGAGAAGAGAUGAAGGAGGAGGGGGUUCCGCAAAGGUAGUAGUGCAAAAAAAAAGGCUCUAUGUGGUGUAACAUAUUCCUAAGUAGUGCAAUGGUUUUAAGAAAAUGGUGCAACGAGUCUAUAACCAGAGAAAAAAAUUCUUAAAUUAGGUGUAAUAUUAACAUUAAUGGUGCAAUAUUUGGCAAACAUUAAUACUGCAACAAGUCCUUAUGUCACACCCCGAACCCGAUCCUAUUUGGCCGGUUCGAGCGCGUCAAACAGACGCCGAACGGACAAAGUCUCCCCUGUCCGCCCAAGGCUCAACAUCCUAUACAAAUAGAGUAUGNUAGUCCCUAACCACAUUAGAGACAUAUUACAUUAACCCAAUCAUAAGCUUUCGCUAUACAUUGUUCAACGUCACUCACGUUUCCUAGGUCCUUAAGGUCUUUCCAUUCCUAAGGGUCUCUAGGUCCAUCCUAUACUUUCACCUUUUGGCUCUUUACGCUCUGAUACCAUCUUAUCUGUCACGCCCCGAACCCGAUCCUAUUUGGCCGGUUCGAGCGAAUCAAACAGACGCCGAAAGAACAAAAUCUCCCCUGUCCGCCCAAGGCUCAACAUCCUGUACAAAUAGAGUAUGAAUUUUGCACCAAACGGAAGCAUACAUAAUGGCUUGCACGAGGGCAAGCAAUAGCCAAUAGUGAAAGAAUCUACUAAACAUCAUACAGGUAUUUGAUUAAAUUUAAAUCACAUACAUGCAUCCAACUAUAAUCAAGUUCUUUCACAUUUUUGCAUCAUUUCUUGUUACAUCUCAUUUCUUCCAAAGUAUAACUUUUGACAUUUAAAAUAAAUAUCCUUUACAUUAUUCAUUAGAGCAAGUUCAUGAUACUAAAAUCAUCAAAUACAAAAGAUGAUAGUAAGGGUAUGCGACUACAAAAUGAUAACCAUCUCGGGCGGUCUCUACCUAGGGCGCGAUGCCCUUACCGCGAUCAUCAGCCGGCUCGCUUGGUCCCGGCUCUGUGGAAAUAGUGGGGUGAGAACUACAACAAAGUUUCCAGUGGAUUCGGCAACCAACCACGCCGACUAUCCCACUAGAUCUAAUCAGGCAUAAUAGAAGAAAGAAUAGAUAAUAACCAACUAACAAAUGCAGAUAAUAUGCCUGAACGAUAAGUAAAACUAUGCUCGAUAGAAUGCAUAUGAUGAAUGCAAAAUUAACUUUUCAUUACCCAAUCUCAUGGCUAGCCCGUAGGUUUCGCCCUCACAAACUCACCAACCCAAAUUCCUAUUGUCGGGGAGAUAACCGCUACGACCCGACGGGACCGCCCUCUGGGGAGAUAACCGCUACGACCCAGUGAUGACAACUCCGGAGCACAUCGCCCGAGGGGGAGCUACCGCCCUCGAGCAAGGACUAUUAGGUGAGUACGAUCAAUCCUUAACUUUAAGGAUUCCAAAUUCAAUCCAUUCCUUGACUUCAAGGAGAACCAUGUUCAUAUGACCCUUUAACUCUAAGAUGUAUAUGUCAUAUUGUCUCUAACCCAAUUUACUUGCAUCCUCUAACCUCAACUAGUGUCAUGUACACUACUUAUUCUUGUUCCUGGUCAUUGACGCCACAAUUAUUUUCUAAGUGCUAUAUUCUUGUACUCAUGCCACACUCUAUGUCUAUGUCAACAUGUCACAUUUGUUUACUAACCCUUCUAGGUUCUUGUCCCUUGUUAUGCAUAUAUAUAGGGUUAACAAUUCUCAUUCAUUUACCAUAAUUUCUCAAGCAUUAAAACUCAUAUCAUGCAAUGGAAGCUCUCAAUUAACCCUACUAUGCAACAUGCUCAAUAUAAAUACAUAUGCUCAAAUAUGACACUUUAAAUAUAAAGAGAUUUCCGAUGUCCUUGGAAUGCACCACCCACCUUAGAUGGUUACCAGGAUGCUAUGGUGAAUUUCUUGGAAUUUUUGAAACCCUAGUUCGCGUGCUGCGGCUAUCUGUACGGAAAAUGACGUUUUUGUCAAUAACUUUGCGUACACUCAUCAGAUUGCCGAACCGAGCGUUCCAACGCGUUUAAAAUACCCUCAAUUAGGUUUCUACAUGAUCAAAAUAGAUCAAAACCCAACUUGGGCAAAACCCCUCUUUGGGAUGCCCUGACAUGUCAUUUUUGUAUUUUUCCUAGAUUGAUCUUGUCGCUAAGCAAAGAAUAGCUUAGAAUCACUUGGGAAGCUCUCUAAUAAGGUUUCUAAGCUUUUAGAAUCAUCCCUAGGGCAUCUACUUUGAGCCCUAGUGAUCCACCAUGAGAGCUCCUCAAGAAAGCCAUGCUUUCAUGGUGUUCUUGGCUCUAGGAGGUUUCUAAAGGAUAAAACAAGCUCAAAACUCCUAAACAUAGGGCUAAAACCCAAACCCUAGACUCAACUUGCAAAGAGACUCACCUUUGCCCAAGCCCUAGCAAGCUCCUUCUUGUUGGAGAGCCACAAGAUCCUCUCAAGCCUCCAAAACCACCUCUUCAAGCUUCUUGUCCACCUUCUCCACCAAACCCUAGAGUUAUAGAGAGAGAAAAGAGAGGGAAAAUGAGAGAGGGGGAUGUGGGUGGCUGUGGGAGGGAGAGAGAGAGGUGUUGGGUUGUUAACAUGUUGCUACAAUUGCAACUAGGCCCUCCAACUCUCUAUUCUGCAGCAGAUUCAUCCCUGCUGCCAAAACUGCUGUGUACCGGUACGCGGGUUUGUGUACCGGUACGGACCUGCGCAGAGGCCCAAACCCGAGAGCAAACUCUCUCGGUUUCGCAGGGUGUGUACCGGUACACGGGGUCCCGUACCGGUACACCACCCAGGCUGCCCAAACCCAAGAGCAGCCUGUGCUCGGGUCGCUUGCUGUACCGGUACAACCACCAUGGUAUACCGGUAUACAAUGCUCCAGAAUGCUGUUUUGGUUUCGACCCGACUCUACUUCGCAUCGUUCGAUGCCAAAACCAUUCCAACACUUCUUUAACUCAUUUUUGCCCUUCCAAACUUGUUGGAAUGCAAAAAAAAUGAAACUCACCAAUUCAUUUCUCUCGACACUUUAACCAAUUUGAUUAAAGUUCGAUUAUCGUUUUUCGGGUUUCGAUAUGUUACAUUCUCCACCCCUUAUAUUUAGUUUCGUCCGUGAAACUAGUUUAAUUUAAGCCCGAACUCGACUCGUACCUUAGUUCAGCUCGUCGAAGAGAUGAGGGUAAUGCUCCCGCAUUGCGCUCUCGAGCCCCCAAGUAGCUUCCCGGUCGUCGUGGUUACACCAACGAAUCUUUACGUACGGAAUCUUACGAUUUCGUAGUUUUCUUACUUCUCGAUCGAUGAUGUACGCCGGAAACUCCUUAUAGGUCAUGUCCUCUUGAAUCUUGGACGGUUCAAACGAGAGAACAUGAUCGGGGUCGUGAACAUACUUGCGGAGAUUCGACACGUGGAACACAUCGUGCACUCCUGCAAGUCUUGGUGGUAAUGCUACUCGGUAUGCCACCGCGCCGACCCGUUCCAGUAUUUCGAACGGUCCAAGGUACCGGGGACUUAGCUUCCCACGGAUUCCAAACAGCUUAAUCCCUCUCAUCGGCGAAAUCAUUAGAAACACGUGGUCUCCAACGGCAAACUCUAUAUCUUUCCUCCGUUUGUCGGCAUAACUCUUUUGCCGAGAUUGCGCCGUAGCAAGUCGUUGGCGAGCAAGACGAACUUUCUCCUCCGCCUCCCGUACUACAUCGGGGCCAAGACCCGCCCUCUCGCCCACAUCGCUCUAAUGAAUUGGGGAGUGACACUUCUUUCCAUAAAGAGCCUCGAAUGGCACCAUCGCGAUACUUUCUUGAUAACUGUUAUUGUACGCGAACUCUGCNAUUCUUUGCUAAAUAGUGUAACAAGUUCGUAAAUAGUCCAAAUUUUUCUCAACAUUUGGUACAUCUAGCAUUUUUGGUAGAAAAUAGAAACCAAAGAAUAAGAAGAUUAAUGAAUGAAAUAGACAAUGCACUCUCUAUUAAUCUGGGAGCAAGGAUUACAUUUUCUUUGAUGCAAAUUACACGAUUUUAUAGUACUUUGUAAUAUACAAGACAGGAUUUGCAUACAAUAUACCAUUUUCUCUAAACAAUUAAGAAAACAAUAAAGAUCAUUUGACCUUUUUUUGCGCUUCCAUGCACAGGGCGAUGCUAUUUUUUGUCAAGGAGGUGAAGGCGACGAAGGGCGUUCCCUCUAAACACAGCCGAUGCGGCCGUGGGGGAUGUGGCUCGUGCCUUCCUCGUCCUUAAUUGCUAUGGCGGCGGCGGCGGCGGCGGCGUCCGCAGCUCUUCCUCAUCGCGUUUGUUUCAGUGGUCCAGCCAGUGAUUACGGGGGGCAAAAAUUAAAGUCGUCGUGGUUGGUAGCGGUGGUCAUGCCGACGACGGCCGCGGCAGAAGGGGACUGAGGCGAAAGAGUGGUCGAGGAGAAGGAUGAUGUUGGAAAGUAUAGGACCAAGCAGAUCGACAUUAAGAUCGACUCGCACUACCUGAAGCGCUUCAGCUACUCCGAGCCCUUUGGAUCUCCGCUCUUCUAUGGUCGGAAAUAAGCUCACCGUUUAGUAAAAAAAUAUAAAUAAAUGAGAAAAUAAAAAAAAAAAACUGAAUAAAUGUUCGAACCUUUAAGAGAAGAGAGCUAAUGGGCUCGCGGCAAUUGAAGCACUCCAGAAAGUGGUGGUCAAUCUAAACCCCGACGUGCUAGAUACCCUUCACAAUAGUUGCCUCCUCGUCAACGACUGACUCGGUUCUCGCCCUUUCCACCACCGCCGCCAUGGGGACUACCCCCGCCGCCGGCAGCCAUGACGGCUUUAAUUUCCUCCUCCGGAACAACCACCUGCGGUGCCAAAACAAAUCUGAAGACANCCCGCUGGCGCUGCCGCAGCCACCACAGACAAGGAAAACGCUAGCCACAUCCCCCACAGCCGCAUCGGCUGUGUUUAGGGGGAACGCCCUUCGUCGCCAUCACCUCCUUGAUGAAAGGUAGUGUUGCCUUAACCUCCUUUUAUACUUGUUGGAUGUAAAAAAAAAAAAAAUACUUAUACUAUAUAUACAGGAAAAACAAUCCUAAUCAUAAUCAAAACCGGUUAGAUUCGGGCUCAUACAAUCCUAAUAGAUCUCAUGUUAACCAUGAAAUUUAAGGGCCAAUAGUUAUAAUUUAAAUCCACAAUAGACCCAUUAAUGAAUGUGAGUUGGUGGGCCUUAUGAAAGCCCGUUAAAAUUUUAAGCCUAUGGAAUAAUUCGGGCCUUAUGAAUAUUAUUAUUUGUGCCAAACAAUUUUCAUCAAAGUGGGAAUCAAUGACGGUCCAUAUCCACAUCCUAAAAUUCAAUAUCCAAUUAGAAAAUAUCUUUCAUCCAAACAAGCUCAUUCAAAUUUCAAAUCCCAACCAACUCUCAAAAUAUCUCCAAUUCAAAUCCCCAACCAAUUCCCAAAAUAUCUCCCAACCAACCAACCAACUCCCAAAAUAUCUUCCAACCAACCACAACCAACUCCCAAAAUAUCUCCCGUUCAAAUUCCGAACCAACUCCCAAAAUAUCUCCCAACUAACCAACCAACUCCCAAAAUAUCACCCAACCAACCACAUCUAUUCAAAUUUCGAAUAUUUAUCCCUCCAACUACUGAUUCAAAAUUCGAUUUCGAAUUUCGAAUCCCUAACCGACUCAAAAUAUCUCUCGCCUAACCCACAAAUCUCUCCGACUCCUCAAAUCUCCCCUUUUAUUAUAAAUGUGAGAAUAAAAAAAGAGGAAGGGAUACACACAGAAGAGAGGAUAAAUAGAUAGAGAGAGACGAUAGCGAUACGGAGAGAGACGACGAUACAAAGAGGAGAGAUAAUAACAUUUCCACUCCUUGCUACACGCAUACAAAAAAUUCAAAGGAGGAGAAUUUUUCGACCGCACCGCCGUGCCGCUUCAUCCAGCCCGUCAUUUGAUCAUCAGGUAAAGAUAAAAAAAAAGAAGAAAGAAAUAAAGAAAGAAAAUAAUAAUAAUAAUAAAGCAUAUCAAAAAAAUAAAAAAAAAUGAUCUCUUUUCCUUCCUCCCUUUUCUUUUUUUUUAGAUCCUGCUACCGUAGUCAUCCAUACCAUCUAAACGGCUUCGAUGGGAGAGUGGAGGGAAGCCAAUGGCUUUCUGUUUCUUCGGACCUCUCGAUACCUCAUUCGAAGCCGUUAAUUGAUGAAAUGGAUGAUCUACAUUGCUGCGACCAUCUCCAGCAUCGUCGGUUCGGUAUUUUCGAAAGAAGAGGGGAGGGGAAUUAAAGAUUCCCCGUUCUUCGGACCCUUCAAUCUCUUUUGAAAAUAUCGAACCAAAUUUGCCGGCCGAACAAAUCCGCACCACCGUCAUCAUCUUCACCGCUGUCAUCUCCAGUAUCGCCGGUUCAGUAUUUUCGAAAGAAGAGGGGAGGGGAAUCAAAGAUUCCCCGUUUCUUCGGACCCUUCAAUCUUUUUUAAAAAUAUCGAACCGAAUUCGCCGGCCGAACAGAUCCGCACCACCAAUCAUCUUCACCGCCGUCAUCUCCAGUAUCGCCGGUUAGGUAUUUUCAAAAGAAGAGGGGAGGUGAAUCAAAGAUUCUCUGUUUCUUCGGACCCCAAACCAAAUCGAACUGCAAAAUCAAAAGGGGAUUUCGUCGAAUCCCAAAUCUAAUUGCAAAAUCAAAAGGGGAUUUCUUCGAACCCCAAAUCGAAUUGCAAAAUCAAAAGGGGAUUUCAUUAGACCCCAAAUCGAAAUCAAAAUGGGAAUUUCCUUGGACCCCAAAUCAGAAUCAAAACGGGGAUUUCUUCGGACCCCAAAUCAGAGUCAAAAUGGGGAUUUCUUCAGACCCCAAAUCAGAAUCAAAACGGGGAUUUCUUCGGACCCCAAAUCAAAGUCAAAAUGGGGAUUUCUUCAGACCCCAAAUCAGAAUCAAAACGGGGAUUUCUUCGGACCCCAAAUCAAAAUCACAAGAAAUCAAAACGGGGAUUUCUUAAGACCCCAAAUCAGAAUCAAAAUGAGGAUUUCUUAGGACCCGAAAUCAGAAUCAAACUGGAGAUUUCUUCGGACCCCAAAUCCAAAUUGCGAAAAGGAGAUUUUUUCCGACCCCAAAUCAAAAUUGAAAUAAAUUAAAAGGGGAUUUCUUUGGAACCCAAAUCGAAAUUGCAAAAUUAAAAAGGAAAUUUCUUCGGACCCCAAAAUCGAAUUGCAAUAAAAUUCGAAAGGAAAAUUCCUCCGGACCUCAAAAUCAAUUUGCAGUGAAUCUCAAAAAGGAACUUCUUCAGAUCACAAAUUCAAAUUUGGAUAAGUCUAAAGAAGCCUUCUUCGGACCUUAAUUCUAAACAAAAAUAAAUACAGCCAAACCCACAAAUAAAAAACCCAAACCUAACCCCAAACCCAAAUCAAAUCCAGUCCACAAAUAAAAACCCAAACCUAAGCCCAUAAAUCCCAAACUCAAAUCCAAUCCGGAUCACAAAUAGAACCCAUACCAGACUUUCAACUUGGAUUCAUGAACCAAGUUCAUGAACCAAAUCCCAUAAACCAUGAACCAAGUUCGCAAACAAAACACCACGAACCAUACCCAAGUUCAUGAACCAAAUUCCAUAAACCAUGAACCAAGUUCAUGAAGCCAAAACAAGUUUGUGAACCAAACACCACGAACCAUACCCAAAUCCCAUAAACCGUGAACCAAGUUCAUUAAGCUUACCCAAGUUCGUGAACCAAACACCACGAACCAUACCCAAAUCCCAUAAACCAUGAACCAAGUUCAUACACCGAGUUCAUGAACCACAAACCAAGUUCAUGAACCAAAUGAACCAAGCUCAUGAACCAUGAACCAAGUCCAUAAACCAAGUUCAUAUACCAUGGACCAUAUCCAAGUUCAUGGACCAAAUCCUAUACACCAAACCCUAUGAACCAUACAUCAAGUUCAUGAACUAUAUAAACCAAGUCCAUAAACCAAGUUUAUAUACCAAAUCCAUGAACCAUUUCUAAGUUCAUGAACCAAAUCCCACAUGUCUAACCUCAUGAAACAUAAACCAAGUUCAUGAACCAAAUGAAUCAUGUUCAUGAACCAUGAACCAAGUCCAAAAACCAAGUUCAUGAACCAAAUGAACCAAGCUCAUGAACCAUAAACCAAGUUCAUGAACCAAAUGAACCAAGCUCAUGAACCAUGAACCAAGUCCAUAAACCAAGCUCAUACAUCAAAUCCAUGAAUCAUAUCCUAGUUUAUGAACCAAAUCUCAUGAGUCAUACACCAAACCCCAAUGAACCAUAUACCAAAUCUUAUGAACCAUACACCAAGUUCAUGAACCGUAAAUGUAACAUAUCGAAACUCGAAAAUGAUAAUCGAACUUUAAUCAAAUCGGUUAAAGUGUCGAGAGAAAUGGAUUGGUGAGUGAUUUUUGCAUUCCAGCAUGUUUGGAAGGGCAAAAAUGGGUUAAAGAAGUGUUGGAAUGGUUUUGGCAUCGAACGACGCGAAGUAGAGUCGAGUCGAAGCCAAAACAGCAUUCUGGAGCAUUGCGUACCGGUACACCAUGGUAGUUGUACCGGUACAGCAAGCGACCGGAGCACAGGCUGCUCUCGGGUUUGGGCAGCCUGGGUGGUGUACCGGUACGGGACCCUGUGUACCGGUACACACCCUGCGAAACCGAGAGAGUUUGCUCUCAGGUUUGCUUCUGCGCAGGUCGUGUACCGGUGAUACCAACCCGUGCACCGGUACGCGAAACCUCUGGCAGCAGGGAUAAGUCUGCUGCAGAAUAGAAAGUUGAAGGGCCUAAAUGCAAUUAUCACAAUAUGUUAUUUGACCCUAGCCCUCUCUUCACAGCAGCACACACCCCUCCUCUCUUUCCCUCUCAUUUUCUUCCCUUUCUCUCUCUAGAAAGCUUGGUCUAGGGCAAGGAGAAAGUGGAGAAGAAGCUUGGAGAGGAGAUUUUGGUGGGUUUGAAGGCUUUGGUGGCUCUCCAACAAGGUGGACCUUGGUGAGCUCGUGGACAAGGUGAGUUUAUUGCAUAAGAGAGCCUAGGGUUUGGUUUUAAACCUUGGGAUUUAGAGUUUUGAUCCUCUAAUUAACCUAGAAAUCCUCUAGACCAUGACUCCAUGAAAAACAUGGUUUUCUUGAAGAGCUCUCAUGGUGGAUCACUAGGGCUCAAAGUAGAUGCCCUAGAGAUGGUUCUAAAAGCUUAGAAACCUUAUUAGAGAGCUUCCCAAGUGAAUCUAAGCUAUCUUUUUCUUAGGAAUGAGAUCAAUCUCGGAGAAAUGCAAAAAUGACAUGUUAGGGCAUCCCAAAGAGGGGUUUUGCCCAAGUUAGGUUUUGAUCUAUUUUGACCAUGUAGAAACCUAAUUGAGGGUAUUUUAAACGCGUUGGAAUGCUCGGUUCGGCAAUCUGACGAGUGUACGCAAAGUUAUUGACAAAAACGUCAUUUUCCGUACAGAUAGCCGCAGCACGCGGACUAGGGCUUCAAAAAUUUCAAGAAAUUCACCGUAGCAUCCUUGCAACCAUCUAAGGUGGGUGGUGCAUUCCAAAGACAUCGAAAAUCUCUUUAUGUCUAAGUGUCAUUUUUUGAGCAUAUGUGCAUUUUUGAGCAUCUUGCAUAAUAGGGUUAGUUGUGAGAUUUUUAUAACCUAAUGUAAAUUCAAAUGCAUGUUAAAUGUUUGUAAGAAUGUGAGAAUGAUGAUCCCUAUGUAUGCAUAAAUGUGACAAGAACCUAGAAGGGUUAGUAAACGAAAAGUGACACUUUGACAUAGAUCUAGCAAGUAACAUCGACGAGUCUAGAACCCUUAAUAAACAAGUGUGGCAUUUGGCAUGAGAACAAGAAUCUAGCACUUAAAGAACAAGUGUGGCAUGAGUACAAGAACUUGAUAGUGUAUAUGACAUUAGUGAUAGUAACGAAUGCAAAGGAAAGAAUGAUUGAUAUAAUAUGACAUUUCAACCUUAGUGUAAGGGUCAUUUGAGCAUGGUCUUCCUUAAAGUUAAGGAAUGGAUUGAACUUAGAAUCCUCAAAUGUAGAAUUGAUCGUACUCACUUUUAGUCCUUGCUCGAGGUUGUGGUAGCUUCCCCUCGGGCGAUGUGCUCCGGAGUCGACAUCACUGGGUUGUAGCGAGUAUCUCCCCAGAGGACGGUCCCAUCGGGUUGUAGCGAGUAUCUCCCCGAUUAUUGGGAUUUUGAGUUUGUGAGUUUGUUGAGGGCGAAACCUACGGGUUAGCCAAGAGAUUGGGUAUUGGCACUAUGACCUUGCAUUCAUCAUGAGCAUUACAUUGUGCAUAUCAUUUUAUAUUGUUCAGGCAUAUUAGCUGCAUUAGCUAGCUGGUUACUUACUUUCUUUUAUUCUAUUAUGCCUGAUUAGACCUAGUAGGAUAGUCGGCGUGGUUGGUUGCCGAACCCACUGGGAACUUUGUUGUAGUUCUCACACCCCUAUUUCCACAGAGCCGAGACCCAGCGAGCCGGCGGACGAUCGCGGUAAGGGCAUCGCGCCCUAGGUAGAGACCGCCCGAGAUGUUUAUUUACUCUAGUUGCAUACCCCUUUUACUAUAUCAUCUUUUGUACUUGAUGAUUUGGUUAUUAAAGAAAAGAAUAUGUAUGUUGUAAAAGAUCCUUACAUUUAAAUGCAAGAAUGACAUUUUGAGAUCCUAUGAUGUAAAAGAAAAGAAAUGAUGCAAAGAUUGUAAUCCGUUCAUAAGUGUAGUUGUUUACCUUCACUCUUGGCUAUUGCUUGCCCUCGUGCAAGCCAUUGUGUAUGCUUCCGCUUAUGCAAUUUCUAUACUCUAUCUGUACCUGUUGUUAAGCCUUGGGCGUACAGGGGAAGCUCUGUCUGUUCGGUGUCUGUUCGACGCACUCGAACCGGCCAAAAGGAUCGGGCUCGGGGCUUGACAAUAAACCAAACCUCAUGAACCAAAUCCCAUAAACCAUACACCAAGUUCAUGAACCAAAUCUCAUGAACCAUGAACCAAAUGCCAUAAACCAUAUCCAAGUUCAUCAACCAAAUCGCAUGAACCAUAUCAAAUGCCAUAAACCAUAUCCAAGUUCAUGAACCAAAUCUCAUGAACCGUGAACCAAAUACUAUAAACCGAACCGUGAACCAAUUCCAUAAACCAAGUUUAUAAAUCAAAUGAACCAAAUUCAUGAACCAUGAACCAAGUUCAUACACUAAACCAGCGAAUCAUAUCCAAGUUCAUGAAUCAUAUCCCACAUACCGAACCUCAUGAACCAUACACCGAGUUCAUGAACCAUAAACCAAACCCCAUGAACCAUACACCAUGUUCAUGAACCCAAUCCCAUAAACCAUGCCUAAGUUCAUGAACUAAAUAUCAUGAACCAUACAUCAAACCCUAUGAGUCAUAAACCUCAUGAACCAUACACCACAUCUCAUGAACCAAAUCCCAUACACCAAACCCAAUGAACUAUAUCCAAAUUCAUGAAACAAAUCCAAUACCUAUGAACCAUACAUCAAGCUCAUGCCCAAAGUUCAUCAUGAACCUUUUCUUUACUCUAGCUCGUAUACCUAGAGUAAAAAAUCAAAUGCAAAAUCGACUACCCCUAAUAUAUAUACUUAGAGCUAAAUCAAUCACCUUAGUACAUAUAACUAAGGCAAAAUCAUCUCCAAAUCGACAGAGUUCUAAGUUAUAUAUUUAGAAUUCAGUCAACUGUACCAGAUUUUAAUAUAAAAUUAAGUGUAAAUAAAAGUAGUAUGAGAUACUAUUUUUAUUGGACUUAAAGAAAUAAAAUGUAAGUCUGGAAUGACUUAUGCUAAAAUUGGAAUGAAAAACAGGAGAUUUAGAAUUUUCUGUGAGAAACGGGACUAAUAUUUUAGCAGAAAAUGCACAGUGUCAGAACAUUAUGAAAAUGUAAGAAUAUGUCGGGAUUAUUUUUAUGAGGCUAGAUUUAAAAUUUCAUGCUAUUCUAACACCGGAAAAGUGAAAAAUAAAAUCCAACUACUAUCUGCUAGAGAUUAUAGUUCGGUAGGACUUUCAGUCACCAAAAAAUGGUCCAAACUGGAUAGUUAAGAUAUUUUAUUUUUUAUUAAGUAAAACCGAGCCUGACUGUCAAAUUUGAGAGAGAACGGACAUUCAGAAGAGCUCCGGCGAAGAGGAACAGAUUCUGAGCUGCUAAACUGCUAGUGUGAAUAGUGUUAAGGGGCUAUUUAUGUAACAGGACCCUUCUCCUUCUCCCUCAACCGAGCACCACCAGCACCAACUCACGCACAAAUGGAGGGAGAGAGAAAAUCUCCCUUUCUCUCUCUAAAUAUCUCUUUCAUCUUUCUAGAUCUCUCCCUCAAAUUCACGGCGUUGGCGGAGAGCGAGCUUGUGAACGCGUUGGAAGCAACGGUUCGAGUCUUCGUGCGUCCGGUUGAGCAGCGUGCUUUCGACCCGGCGUUCGCAAUUUCGGUAAGUGUUUAGAAUUUGGUUUAAUUCUUAAUGCUUAGUAUUCUAGUAGUCUCUAGAGUGUUUCUAGCAUGUCGCUGCAUUUAAUUUUGGAAUAUUAGAAGGUUAAUUGCAUGCUAGGGCUAUGUAAUAUACCGAAAAUUCGAAAAAUAAAUAUCGAACUUUAGUCAAAUUGACCAAAGUGCGAGGAUGGUACACUUCGGAAAGUCCGAAGGUGUUAAAAUGAUCAAAAACGUGUUAUGGGAGGUUUUCGAGAGCUAGGGAAUCAAAAAUCUGCAAACUGCAGCUUUUGAGCUCUCGGGGACCGGUCCCUGGUGGGAGAGACCGGUCCCCGAACGCGUAUGAAAUGAGACAGCCGAAAAAUCGGCUAAGUCCUGGAGGAUUAGCUCUCGGGAAUCGGUCUCUGUCUGAGAGACCGGUCCCCCAGAGACCGGUCCCACCAGAGAGGGACCGGAUGCAUUGCGCGCGGCAGCUCUAGCUGCGCAGGGUGGACCUUCGGGGACCGGUCCCUGCUCGGGGAGACCGGUCUCUGCCUGCGAAAACUGCCCAGUCCNNNNNNNNNNNNNNNNNNNNNNNNNGGAGACCGGUCUCUGCCUGCGAAAACUGCCCAGUCCGGGCUGUGUGAAAUAGUGAAAGCUGAAGGGUUUAUUUGCAUUUUUGCAACCCAUGGGUUAAGUGGAGGGCUGAGAGAGCCUUUUCUCUCAUUCUCCCCCUCACACACACUCUCUUCUCUCUCUCUCUCUCUGUAGAAGACAAAGGAGAAGAAGAAGAAAGGAAGAAAAGAAGGAGAAGAAGGAAAAGAAGGUGAAGAAGAAGAUCAAGGAGCAAAGGAGCUUCAUCUUCUUCCUCUCUAGUGCAAGAAUAGGAAGCUUACAAGGUAAGCUUUGAACCCUAAUGUAGUAAAACCCUAGAAAUGAGUUUGAAUGAACCUAGAAAUGGUUGUAAUGGAUUGUUUAGAGUUUUUGAAGCUUUCUCUUUGCUUCUUUAGAGAUCAAAACCUUGGUUUGCUUUAGAGGUGAGCUUGGACCACCUCUCAUGGUGAAAUCCAAACUAGGGUUUUGGAAAGCCUAAGAAUGGUUCUAAUGGACUAUUUAGAGUAUAAUGAAGCUACUUUUGCUUCCCAAUGAGAUCAAACCCUAGGUUUACACAUGCAUUGGAGCUAGGGCACCCAAAUUGGGGCUUUUGCUCAUAAGGGUUUCUAAGUGAAAUUGACCCUUCAAAAACCUAAUUGGGGGUAUUUCCGACGCGUUGGUGCGCUCGGAUUUACGUUACGAAAAGCCAAUGUAAAGUUAUGGCCAAAUAAGCCUAAUUUGGCUUCGUUAUGCCGCAGGUAAAGAACGAAGAGUCUAAAAAUCCCAAGAAAAUCAUCGGAGCACCUUUGAAGGCCUACGAGGUGGGUGGUGCUUCUCAAACUCGUUGAACUUCCCUCUAUGCCUAAUGUGUCAUUCAUUUGAGCAUAUAUAUAUAUAUGUUGUUGCAUGCAUUUUAGGGUAAAGUGAUGAUGAAAAUGUAAUGUGCAUGAUUGUGAGUACAACUUGCAUAAUAUGAUGAAUGAGAACCUUAUGAAUGUUAGAACCCUAUAUGUAUGCAUGAGAGAAAAGUGAGCACCCAAAGUGAGCAAAAGAACAGAGUGGCACAAUGACAUAGAUCGAGUGGCAUUUAAAAACGUAAAGUAAAGUGACACUAGAGUUAGUGUGAGCCAAAGAACCAAAGUGAGGUAAAGAAUCAUGAAAAUGACAAUGUGUAAAGUUAAAGUAAAGUGGGGCAAUAAGAACGAGAAAUGUAAAGAACAAGAAUGCUAAAGAUGGCAAAAGUAAAAGAAAAGUAAAGAAUGGGAUUGCAUGAGUUUGCAACAUAAAGUGAUGUAAAGGACACUAGAGCUAGUGUAAAGUCAAGAUUGAACUUAUGAAAUCCUUUGAGUUUAGGAUAUGAUCAUACUUGCUAUGAGUUCCGUGCUCGAGGGCGGUCGCUCCCCCUCGGGCGAUGCGCUCCGGAGUUAUGCAUCACGGGUUGGAGUAAACCCGAAGGACGGUCCUAGCGGGUGAGUUCCUGCGAUGAUGGACUUAAUGUGAAGCAAGUUAAUGUGGCGAUACCCCCGGGUUAGCCUUGAGAUUAAAGAACAAAGAGCAAAGAACAAAGUGCAAAGAACAAAGAACAAAGAACAAAGAGUAAAGUGAAAAGAACAAAGAAUUUGCAUAAUCUGCAUUUAUUUAAUGUUGAGCAUACUCCUUGCUUUAUUGUUCAGGCAUAUUAGCAUCAUGUAUAGAUUGGUUACUAAAUGCAGCUUAUUCUUUCUAUUAUGCCUGAGUUAGUCCUAGUGGGAAAGUCGGUGAUGUUGAGGCCGAACCCACUGGGAACUUUGUUGUAGUUCUCACCCCACUAUUUCCACAGAGCCGGGACCGAGCGAGCCGGCGAGCGACCGAGGUAAAGGUAUCGCGCCUUAGUCAGAGGCCACCAAAGUCGGAUUUCAUUUUGUAGUAAAGUACCCUAUGAUCAUCUUUUGUAUAUGAUGGUAAAUGAUGUAAAGAAAAGAAUGUAAUGUGUAUUUUGAGGUAAAUGUGAUGUAAGAAAGAAAUGAUGAAACGAAAUGUAAGGAAUUCGAAAAAUUACAAGUUGGAUGUAUGUAUAUGAUCUAAAUUGAAUCAUACUACAAGCGAAUGUUUAGUUUUCCUUUCUUUCACUAAUGGCUAUUGCUUACCCUCAUGUAAACCGUUUGUGUAUGUUUCCGCUAGUGCAAUUCUUGUUUGAAUUUUGUACAUGUGAUGAGCCUUGGGCGGAUAGGGGAAACUCUGUCCGUUCGGCGUCUGUUUGACGUGCUCGGGUCGGGCCAAAUUGGUAUCGGUCCCGGGGCGUGACAGGCUAGAAGAGGGAUUCUUGUAAAUAUAAGGGUUUGAUCUAAAUUGGACCCAUGUAAACCUAAUUGCUAGGUAUUCUGACGUGUUUGCGAAGACGGUUCGGCAAUCCGUCGAGGCUACGCAAAGAUAUUGGGAAAAUGGACCGUUUGGCUUCGUUUCCGCCUGGAGGGCCGAGGCGGCGUCCAAAAAUUACGAAAAUGGAUUCCUAGCAUCGCGGCAUCUAGAUGAAGCCCUUUAAAACUCGAGGCUGCGGAUUGACGCAUGGUUGGUGAUUAUUUGCAAGACCAGGCCGAACCGGACGACGAGUGCCGCGGGAGGCCGAUUGCAAGUGUCGACAAGCAAUCGGAGAGCGUUGCAAGGUGGGUUGUGCUCACCAAAAUAUUUAGUUCGCUUCCAUGUCGAAACAAAGUGAUGUUUAUUAUUGAUGCAUAUAAUGGUAGUUAAUUGUUAAACAUGUAAAGGCAUGAAAUGCUAGAAGAAUACAUGAGAUCAAUGCUAUGUUAGACUACCAUGAUACUAUAGGAAUGCAUGAGAUAUUAUAUGAAUGCAUGUCAUUUAGGUUAUAUGAAUGCAUGAAAAUGAUACUAUAGGAAUGCAUGAGAUGUUAUAUGAAUGCAUGUCAUAGAGGUUAUAUGAAUGCAUGAAAAUGAUACUAUAGGAAUGUAUGAGAUGCUUGACUACCAUUAGAUGACAAAAACAUAUACAUGUUAACAUAUUGUGGAUUGACAUAUUGUGGAUUAUGUUAAUUGACAUAUGCAUGUUGAACUUGGGUCGAAAACUCUAGGUUGAUUAGAGAGUUCGACAUUGAAAAAUAAGAAUAUGAAAACUGUGAUACUCGAUGUGGACUAGUAGAUUGUCAAGUAGAUCGAGUGGCAUUUGGACUAGUGUAGUAGAGACACUAUGACAUGAACAUAGGGAUAGAUGAUUUCCUGAGUCAUGGAUAUGUGCCACAUGAAACUAGUAUAGUAGAGACACUUGUGACAUUAUUGUUGGGAUUAGUGGAUUUCUCGUGUCGUUGUUAAACCUAGUAGACAGGGUAUCCUCGAGUAAGAGGAUUGGAUCAUACUCACUUAGUCUGUUUUUACUUGGCAUGGUGACUCCACCCAAGCAGUGGUCUCCGAAAUACUUCACGAUAGGGAUAGACGUAGUUGUCACGCAAACUGUCUCGGUGUACGAGUGCAGAUUCUCCUCACCUAUGAGAUUUUCAAAGUGAGUCGGGGUUUAACCUUUUGGUCAGCCAGUGAGAUUGGUGACAUUUUUAUGAGCUAUGGAUGAAUCCCAGCAUAGUGGAUUGGCAUCGCAGUUGGUAUCCCAGUUGAGUGGAUUUAAGGCUAAGGUGCAAGUGAGAUGUCCUUUACUUUGAGCCUGGCUUUGCGCGGUAUUCCGCGGAUGAUUGACUCAAGACCGAGUCGAGUGGAUAGCUUUGUAAAGGUUGAUGAAACCUUGUGAGCAACAGUAAAGAUAGAUGAAACCUUAUGAGCAGAAUUGUAAUUGACAUGAAUCCAAAAUAGGGAAAAACUUAGAUGUCAAUUCGAUGAGCUGUGAAUAGCGAGUAGAAUUAGUAGAUCUACUUACCUCAUUGCAUAUUGAGUUGCAUGAUUUGUAUUGUUGCAUGUUGCGAGACAUGAAUGUGAUAAAUGUUAGUUGCAUAAAAUAUUUGAUGAAAUAUAUAUAUAUAUAUAUAUCUGUGGAUACUUGUUGGACUAACAUGUUGCAGUGCCUCCUUCGGACCUGGUGGGUCGAGCUUUUCCCUUGGGUGGCCGUACCCACUGGAAACUAUGGACAAUAGUUCUCACCUCCGUGUUGUUUUUGGGGGUACAGGUUCACACGUGAGCCGCGCGGCGGUGCGAGGACACGGCGUAGCUUCGUAGAUAGCGCUCUACCACUGAGACCAAAGAUAGCGGUACCCCGAGUCAGCCUACCUAGGGGUGUAGAAAAGAGAAGGAAAUCAUUAUUUAUGUAAUCUUGAUUGUAUUUGGGAGAAAGGAAAAUGAAAAUAUAAUAUGUAAAAAGCAUGUGAUGUGAAUGCUUGUAAUAGCUUAGUUGUUUUAUGUUUUUUAUACCUCCUUAUGCAAUCUCUGCGUGAAAUCUAUUCUUGGUUGGAACCUCGCCCUUUGUAUUGAUUGUGACGCCUAGGACGUACAGGGGAAACUCUGUCCGUUCGGCGGUCUGUUAGCGGGCCCCGAAUCCGACCAAAUAGGGGGGUCUCGGGGCGUGACAUAUACACUCAGGAAUUAGCCAUUCUCUACUUUCGGGUAAUAUCAAAUCUGACCUACCUCAAUACAUAUACUUGGGGUAUGGUCACAUCUCCACCUUAGAAUAUACAACCAAGGUGAAUAUAAUCGGACUCUAAGACAUAUACUUAGAGCCAAUUAGACUCUAAUACAUAGAGUUUAAUAUCGACUAGAUCUUAACACAUAUACUUAAGACCUAGUCAAUCUCAAAUCCAACUGAAUCCUAAUACAUAUGCUUAGGAUUCAAUAAACCAAGAUACGAUUCAUUCAAUCCCACCUAUAAAGGUCUCUUAAUCGAAUGUGCCCCAAUGCGACGGGGGUAAUUAACACUAGAUGCUUGCAUCUAUUGAAAGCCAUGGAUCCGCGAUACCUGAUACCCAUAUACAUAUAAAUACUAAUCUGAAUCAUGAAUACUACCCCACGGCCAAAUCCAUCGACCGUGCGAGGUGCGUCAUUCGUGGUGGCAGACAAUACUAGGGAGGAACCGUAAAUCCAAAAAGAAAACAUUGUAUCAAACAAUACGUCAUUUGUACUUAAACGAUUGAAUUUCAUACUUAAAUAGACGAUUAAAACUAAUAGUCUAUAAAUGGUGCAACUUUCCUUGCAAUAGGUUAUUUUAUUGCAUUAAUCGUUCAAAACUGAAAGCAAUAGUGCAAAUGUUGUGUCAGUAGAAUCGAAAAUAGUGCAAUCUCUACGCUGAAGAGUGCAAAAUAUUUGUAGAGAAAUGCAACGGAGAGGAGCUGUAAGCGGUGGGUAAUACGUUCAAGAAUCCUGCCCUUGGGGUGUGUAAUAGCCACUUUCCCUUCCCGAGGAAAGCUCUAAAUUCGUGGGCAUUAAAUGACCGUGAUCGUGGUUACGCAACCUCCCAGUCCUCGGUUGGUGAACCAAAGAGGCCACGCUAUUGGCUAGCCCCGGUGUUUGCUGUAUAUUAUUUCAAAUUUUUACAUUUUGAAGAUAAAUGUGACCCGUAUCAGGAAUAAUGGUGCAACAAGCACCAAAAUAAUGCACCAACCCUUAUAAAGGCGCACCUACGACCACAUAAUAGUGCAAUAUUGGUCUCUAAUAGUGCAACUAUGUGGCAAUCUGUGCAAGACAGUUUCAAUGAGUGCAGCGUCCCACUUCCCUCCAUGCAAGCCGUGAGUUUUGUCUACUUUUGUCCGUCUCGUUCGGCGUUUGCAAAGGAGAAGUGGAAGAAGCGUGGAUGAUGGACAUGGCUUUAGGCUUAUGAACUAGAAGUCGGAAGAUGGAGGAGGGGGACAAGGUGGUGACCAGUAAGGCGCUACGAAACUGCUGAGCAUCAAAAUAGUGCAACAUUCUGUCCUAAAUAGUCUAAGUAGUCCCUAACCAGUGCAAUUUUUUCUCUGUAUUUAGUGAUAAUUUGAAGGUAAUAGUGUAACGUAAAAAGCAAAUAAUAGUGAAACUUGGAGAAAAUGGGUGCAACAAAGCUUGUAAGUGUGCAGUGCAGUUGUAAUACUAGUGGAACAUCCACCGUAAUAAUGCAAUGCUAUUCAAACCAGUGCAACAUAAGAGUGCAACACUUGCUGAAUUAAGUAUUUGGCUAAAUUACAAAAAACUCCUUUGUCAAAACCCAAUUUUUUACUUUUCCUCCCUGUCAUUUAAAAACCUACACUUUGCCCCCUUGUAAAAUGAAAAAUGUUUACUUCACCCCCUGCCGUUAGUAAUCCGUUAGGGUUUCGUUUAUAAAAUAUUAUUAUAUAUUUUUUUUAUGCCAAAAAUACCCUCAGCCUUCUCUCUUGUUGCUAAAAAUGGUGGGGGGCCAAAUGGUCAUUUUGUCAUCACAAUUUACACCGUAAGUCCCUGUGACCAUUUUUUAUUUUAUAAGGGGGCAAAGUGUAGGUUUUUAAAUGACAUGGGGGGAAAGUGAAAAAUCGGGUUUUGACAGAAGGGUUUUAUGUAAUUUAGCCUAAGUAUUUUAAAACUUAAAAGUGUAACCCAAUAUUAUAUGGUGCAAUAUACAGCUGGAGCUUUAGCAAGUCUUCACUAACUAUUGAAAAGGCUUUCUUUAUUAAUUUUGUACCAAAGAUUAUAUUGUCUUUGGCGAAAAUGCAACACAAAAGACACGAUUUGCAUACAAUACCAGGUUCUAUUACAUCCACUGUAACAAACUCCUCAAAAUAAUUAUUUAACAAAAGUAAAAUUUUUUCCAAAAAUAUCAAAUCAUCUAACCUUUUUUUGCGAUUCCACGCGCACGGAGCUAACACUACUUUUCGUCUAACAAGUAUAGGCGGCCAGG